RNAcentral lists this ribosomal RNA (468 nucleotides) under uncultured bacterium. RNAcentral's name for it is "partial 16S ribosomal RNA". It matches the Rfam family "Bacterial small subunit ribosomal RNA", at positions 28 to 507 of the family's 1533-position model. The record is from RNAcentral.
GACGAACGCUGGCGGCGUGCUUAACACAUGCAAGUCGAACGGAAAGGCCCUGCUUUUGUGGGGUGCUCGAGUGGCGAACGGGUGAGUAACACGUGAGUAACCUGCCCUUGACUUUGGGAUAACUUCAGGAAACUGGGGCUAAUACCGGAUAGGGGCUCCUGCUGCAUGGUGGGGGUUGGAAAGUUUCGGCGGUUGGGGAUGGACUCGCGGCUUAUCAGCUUGUUGGGGGGGUAGUGGCUUACCAAGGCUUUGACGGGUAGCCGGCCUGAGAGGGUGACCGGCCACAUUGGGACUGAGAUACGGCCCAGACUCCUACGGGAGACAGCAGUGGAGAAUAUUGCACAAUGGGCGGAAGCCUGAUGCAGCAACGCCGCGUGCGGGAUGACGGCCUUCGGGUUGUAAACCGCUUUCGCCUGUGACGAAGCGUGAGUGACGGUAAUGGGUAAAGAAGCACCGGCUAACUACGUG